Molecule: transfer RNA, 87 nt
Filed under: Patescibacteria group bacterium
Lineage: Bacteria
Also listed under: 1 other name
Description: tRNA-Leu
Rfam family: tRNA
About the family: Transfer RNA (tRNA) molecules are approximately 80 nucleotides in length. Their secondary structure includes four short double-helical elements and three loops (D, anti-codon, and T loops).
Source: RNAcentral
GGGGAUGUGGCGGAAUUGGUAGACGCGCAGGCUUGAGGGGCUUGUGGCCGUGAGGCCGUGAGAGUUCAACUCUCUCCAUCCCCACCA